AUUGAACGCUGGCGGCAUGCCUAACACAUGCAAGUCGAACGGUAACAGGAAGAUGCUUGCUUCUUUGCUGACGACUGGCGGACGGGUGAGGAAUGUCUGGGAAACUGCCUGAUGGAGGGGGAUAACUACUGGCAACGGUAGCUAAUACCGCAUAACGUCGCAAGACCAAAGAGGGGGACCUUCGGGCCUCUUGCCAUCGGAUGUGCCCAGAUGGGGUUAGCUAGUAGGUGGGGUAACGGCUCACCUAGGCGACGAUCCCUAGCUGUUCUGAGAGGAUGACCGUCGACACUGGAACUGAGACAGGGUCCAGACGCCUACGGGAGGCAGCAGUGGCGGAUGGUGCACAAUAGGCGCAAGCCUGAUGCAGCCGUGGCGCGUGUAUGAAGAAGGCCUUCGGUUUGGAAAGUACUUUCAGCGGGGAGGAAGGGAGUAAAGUUAAUACCUAUGCUCAGUGACGUUACCCGCAGAAGAAGCACCGGCUAACUCCGUG
Molecule: ribosomal RNA, 490 nt
Filed under: uncultured bacterium
Lineage: Bacteria
Description: partial 16S ribosomal RNA
Rfam family: Bacterial small subunit ribosomal RNA
Source: RNAcentral